Molecule: ribosomal RNA, 279 nt
Filed under: uncultured bacterium
Lineage: Bacteria
Description: partial 16S ribosomal RNA
Rfam family: Bacterial small subunit ribosomal RNA
Source: RNAcentral
UGCCAGCAGCCGCGGUAAUACGGAGGAUCCAAGCGUUAUCCGGAAUCAUUGGGUUUAAAGGGUCCGCAGGCGGUCUAUUAAGUCAGGGGUGAAAUCCUAUCGCUUAACGAUAGAACUGCCUUUGAUACUGGUAGACUUGAGUUAUUGUGAAGUAAUUAGAAUGUGUAGUGUAGCGGUGAAAUGCAUAGAUAUUACACAGAAUACCGAUUGCGAAAGCAGAUUACUAACAAUUAACUGACGCUGAGGGACGAAAGCGUGGGUAGCGAACAGGAUUAGAUC